Molecule: ribosomal RNA, 253 nt
Filed under: uncultured bacterium
Lineage: Bacteria
Description: partial 16S ribosomal RNA
Rfam family: Bacterial small subunit ribosomal RNA
Source: RNAcentral
UACAGAGGGUGCGAGCGUUAAUCGGAAUUACUGGGCGUAAAGGGCGCGUAGGCGGAGUAUUAAGUUAGAUGUGAAAUCCCUGGGCUUAACCUAGGAACUGCAUCUAAUACUGGUAUUCUAGAGUGCGGUAGAGGAUAGUGGAAUUUCCGGUGUAGCGGUGAAAUGCGUAGAUAUCGGAAGGAACACCAGUGGCGAAGGCGGCUAUCUGGACUGACACUGACGCUGAGGCGCGAGAGCGUGGGGAGCAAACAGG